CCAGCGCCCGCCCCCAGCCCAGCCACUCCCCGGCGCCUCGGGGCUCGGCACGUCCUCCAGGAUCGGCUCCCAGGGGUCCGGGCUGAGCAGAGCUUGCCCUGAGCCAGCUGAGUCUUGCAGCCCUACCUGCCGGGCUAGGGUAGGAGAAAGAAACAGGAUAGCAGUGCCUGGGGGAGACGGGGAGCCUCUGGAGAGCCACAGUGCAGCCCUUAGGCCAACCUCAGACUGCUCAGGUCUGUGCUGCGGUAACAGGCACCUGUGCCAAGCUCACCCACAGCACAGCCAGCAGAACCGGAAAGGGCUCCUCUGAUCAUCUGUCUGCUCCUGCAAAAACGCCAUGGAGGUGGUGCUGGUCUUUCUAUGCAGCCUUCUGGCCUCUGCGGUCCUGGCCAGUGCAACUGAGCAGGAGAAAGAAACGGACCCUUUUCAUUAUGACUAUCAGACCCUGAGGAUCGGGGGCCUGGUGUUCGCCGUGGUCCUCUUCUCGGUGGGGGUCCUCCUUAUCCUGAGUCGGAGGUGCAAGUGCAGUUUCAGUCAGAAGCCCCGGUCACACCCCAUAAAGGUCACACCCACACGACCUGAGCCCCCGUGUGGCCGUAGGCCACCCCUUCCCAGUACUCGGUUCUCUCGGGGGCUGACAUUGAAGGAUGCUGUGAGUUCCUGCUGACGGGCCCCUUCAGCCCCGCUCCUCCCUCUGCUCCUGUGCCCAUGGUAGAGCGUGCUCCAGCCCCUCAGGGCUCCAGGGGAUGAGGAGGCCCAGGUGGAGAACCUCAUCACUGCAAAUG
Molecule: RNA transcript, 785 nt
Organism: Loxodonta africana (African savanna elephant)
Lineage: Eukaryota; Metazoa; Chordata; Mammalia; Proboscidea; Elephantidae
Gene name: FXYD domain-containing ion transport regulator 6
Exons: 9
Source: RefSeq, a predicted model, not a curated record